Non-coding RNA from Salmo salar (Atlantic salmon), 1178 nucleotides. Lineage: Eukaryota; Metazoa; Chordata; Actinopteri; Salmoniformes; Salmonidae. The record is from RefSeq and is a predicted model, not a curated record.
UCGUGUCACCGUGUUUUUUCUGCUCUCUCAGUGCAAGCGAUCGAUGUCCCUAUCAUUGUCGUGUCCCAAUCCCAGCCAAGAUUCUACCUCAAACCAGCCACCAUGCAAAAAACACCACAGCCCCUCUCCUCGACUCUCCUCUCUUCCCCAAGUUGCACUAAACAAUCACCAUGCAUCGACAAGUCACCACCGAAGCCUGGGGUAAAACCUCAUCACUGGCAAUGGAAGGACAAUUCAUUAUGUGGAGAAAAAAUAUGACCCCACCAAAGCGAAUGAAGGAGAGCAAAUGGAUCUUACGUUUCGGCAAGAGGACAGGAGUAAAGCAAAAAUAUAACCUAUAUUCAAGAGUUUGGGCCUCUUAUGCUCUUUUUCCCAGUGCCUGUUUUAAGAUUUUGUCAAAGAGAAAUAAGAACCGUGAGUUUUUGGCUCCAGGGGAUCUGCGUGCUAUCAGGAGCCAAACGACUGGUCUCUCUCGGCGACAGCCACCCCUGCCUCCGUGCAUGUCUACUCCUUUAGACGCAGCAGGCGCUGAUACACACCCCUGGGCAGAAUCGUGGAGAGUAUGGAGGGUUGGCCAUGCACAAGAACUGUCACCCAAAUCAACGGUCGGCGUUCUCAAAGAGAUUUUGCAGAAUUCCGGAUCAGAAUAUUGUAGGUAAUGUCUGAUGUCUGCCUCCUUUUGAUGUGGAGCGAGGAGUGAAUACACAAACGCAACGAGGGGAUCUAGCAGUGAAAAGUGUGUGUGUGUUAUAUCAUGUGAACAUGACAUUAGCCUUGUCGGGGGCAGGACUUCUCUCCCAUCCUGGAGAGAAAAAGGGAAAUGGAUGGAAAGAAGAAAGGAAUGAGAUAAUAACAAAUAAAGAAGGGAAACAUAAAGAAUCUGUAAUCCUGUGUUUGUUUGAGUGCUUAACGUUUUUUGUUACUGUUUGAAUAAAGCUCAAUCCUUUUAUGAAAUAGCACUUUGUGUUAGUAUUUGUCAAGAGGGUUUUUAUUUUUUUUACCGUACAAUUUUAUUGAUGAAUGACUACAGGAGAAAGUAUAUGAGCAAUUAGAAAUAUGUAGCUAAAUAAUAUUUGUAGACAAUAACCACACAAUUGUUACAAAAUGUGUGAAUUUGUAGAUAUACAUAUUACAUGUUUCUAUAUUGCUUUUUGGUCAAAAUAAAUGAAAAAACUAAA